This 1077-nucleotide long non-coding RNA is filed under the name Fragaria vesca (wild strawberry). Its description in RNAcentral is "long non-coding RNA (FVES_LNC005055)". The record is from RNAcentral. Lineage: Eukaryota; Viridiplantae; Streptophyta; Magnoliopsida; Rosales; Rosaceae.
AUAACCUUCGAAAGCGACCUUUUUCUUUAAACUUAUUUGGGUGAUGAAAUUUUUUUCAUUAUAUAAUUAAGUUUAUACGUUUAAACCAAGUCUUAUAAGACCUCAAUAAAAAAAAAUAUAUAUAUAUAUAUAUAUAUAUUCCAUUGAGGUGGUCGGACUAUUAAAUUGCCCGCCUAACAAUGACUCGCAUUUUUGCCUUCAUAAAAAAUGCUGAAGUCCCAGGUUGAACAAAAAAAAAUGACCACCAGAUUUGUAACAAUAUCCAACUCGGAUGUGACUUCCCUUUCCUAUAUUUCUGGUGCUAUCCCACACAGCUGAUAUUUAACAAGAGUAAUUAUUCUCUGUACCCGGAACACCACGUGGCACUGUCAGGUGUUGUACUUGGCUAAUUAUAUAACUCAGAUUCAUGUGAGGACUAGCACGGGGUAGGAAAAAAAAAGUAAUUAAUUAAAUAUACCAAUCAGAAAUAAGGAUAAAACACGUGGACCAAUGAGAUUAAAAGGAAACAAAAAACAGGUGGUGUUCCGGGUACAAAUAAUAAUUUCCCAUUUAACAAAAACAAUGAUAUCGUGGACGAAAGGAAAAAUGAUAGGGUAAAGAGAGGCCGGUGAAAUGUCCCUUUUUUGAUUUAAAAAUUAACAAACAUACAAUGAUGAUAUUGAUGAGUCUAUUUCGAGGGUCUCCAAGAGAUUAUAUAUAUAUAUAUAUAUAAACAUACAAUAUAUACACACAGUUAGGAUCUGAGGAGGACGUCCGCAAAAUGAAAAGAGUGCGGAUGGACACAUGUCGACUAGAGGAAUCAACUGUAUUUUAAACUGGGUCUCACCACCUCUCUUCUUACUUUGACCACAUCCCUUCCUCGAUCUCUCACACGCGCUAAACCCAGAAACUUGAUUUUCUUCUGCCUUUCUCAUCUCCAUUACAGAUCCAGAAAUAGAUUUAAGUAGGAAGUCUAAGUGUUGAUGAAAUGGGUGGGCAUGCCUCAGCAUUCGCACACAACUAUAUAGUACUUUGAGAGUUGAUGCUCAUUUCCCAUCCCCAAAGAAACACAUUGACCACCGCCGCCGUCACCUCAAU